UACCACAAUUAAAACAAGAUCCUCUUCCUCUACUCUUCUUAUUCUCUUCUUGUUUAGAAUCUGUGGAUUGUCUUCGAAACUUCAUGAGGUUUUUGUCGGAAUACUUUACUCCAUUCUUUCGAAUGAAUCUGUUAUACCUCCUUACAAACAGUCCCAUUUCCUCAUCAUCUGAAUCUUUGUCACUACUUGUAUCAUUGUCACUUUUCUCUUUUCGUGAGGACUUAGAGCUAGAGGCCACAAGAGCU
This 245-nucleotide long non-coding RNA is filed under the name Lathyrus oleraceus (garden pea). RNAcentral describes it as "Pisum sativum (pea) long non-coding RNA (PSAT_LNC038603)". Lineage: Eukaryota; Viridiplantae; Streptophyta; Magnoliopsida; Fabales; Fabaceae. The record is from RNAcentral.